UCCCCAUUAGCUCAGUCGGUAGAGCGUUCGGCUUUUAGGGAUUCUUCCAGUUUCGCAAGAAACCGAAAUGUCCAGGGUUCGAGCCCCUGAUGAGGAG
Molecule: transfer RNA, 97 nt
Organism: Ascoidea rubescens DSM 1968
Lineage: Eukaryota; Fungi; Ascomycota; Saccharomycetes; Ascoideales; Ascoideaceae
Rfam family: tRNA
About the family: Transfer RNA (tRNA) molecules are approximately 80 nucleotides in length. Their secondary structure includes four short double-helical elements and three loops (D, anti-codon, and T loops).
Source: Rfam